CCCAUAUGUUGAGGUGAAGCUAGGGAAUUAUAAGGGCACAACUCGGUUUUUCGAGAAAACCAGCAACCCAGAGUGGAAUCAGGUCUUUGCCUUUUCAAAGGAGCGCAUUCAGUCAUCAGUUGUGGAGAUCGUGGUCAAGGAUAAGGAUCUUGUUAAGGAUGACUUCAUUGGGCGUGUUAUAUUUGACCUUAAUGAGGUCCCAAAGAGAGUGCCACCUGAUAGCCCAUUGGCUCCACAGUGG
This 241-nucleotide long non-coding RNA is filed under the name Setaria italica (foxtail millet). RNAcentral describes it as "long non-coding RNA (SITA_LNC003205)". Lineage: Eukaryota; Viridiplantae; Streptophyta; Magnoliopsida; Poales; Poaceae. The record is from RNAcentral.